GACUCCUUACCAGACCUGCUCAGCUUAGUGGCUGAAGACUGACGCUGCCCAAUCACCUUGGAAGCCCCCUGGACCAUCAUGGAUGCCAAGCUUCGGGUAACUUUCACAGUGGAGGACAGGAAUGUCAGGCCUCUGCGCCGAAGCUCAGCCAUUGUAACCCCUGUGACUUGCACAUAUGUGUCCAGAUGGCCUGCAGGAGCCAAGAAGUCUGGGGCAGCUGAAAAACCACAAAAGAAGUAAAACAGCCAGUUCCUGCCUUAACAGAUUAACCAACAUUCCACCAUUCCACCAUUGUGACUGGUCCCUGCCCUACCUUAAUGGAUCGAUUGACCUUGUGACAUUCUUCUUCUGGACAAUGAGUCUUAUGAUCUCCCUACCAUGUACCUUGUGACCCCCCUCCUCUGCUAACAAUAGAUAACCACCUUUUAGUGUAAUUUUCCAUUACCUACCCAACUCCUAUAGGGCAACCCCUUCCCCAUCUCCCUUCGCUGACUCUCUUUUCAGACUCAGCCCACUUGCACCCAAGUGAAUAAACAGCCUUGUUGCUCACACAAAGCCUGUUGGUGGCGUCUUCACACAGACAUGCGUGACAUCUGCUCACCCACCUCUAAUACUGCAGAUUGAACAGUUCCCUUUGGAAAGCCCUUCCUGAUGUUGAGCUAAAAUGUCUUCCUGUCAUGUCCAUUCAUUAGUAGAAUAAACAUUUUAUCCAAAUGAGGCUGAUUAAACCAGAGGUUUAUGCAAAGGUGUAUGCAUCAAAGAUAGUGAUUUCCUGAGUGGAAGAAUUAAAUACCAGCUAAGAGUGAUUACAUAAAGCAUGGACCUUUUAUCUCUAUAGAAAAAACGCUACCUGACAAUAUUUCAAGUUAGAAUUUUGCUUUUCUUUUUCUCAAGUCAGGGUCUCAUUCUGUCACACAGACUGGAGUGCAGUGGUGCGAUCAUGCUGGCUAAUUUUUAAAUUUUUUGUAGACAGGGUCUGCUAUGUUGCCCAGGUUGGUCUAGAGCUCCUGGGCUCAAGGGAUCCUCCUACCUUGGCCUCCCAAAGUGCUGGGAUUACAGGCAUGAGGCACCUCGCCCAGCCCAAAUUAGGAUUUUUCUGGAGUGUAUAUUAGCACUUUCCUGAAAGGCAGCAAAUGUUUCAAAAGUUCACACCCUUUAACUCAAUAAUUACACAUCUAGGAAUCUUAUUCUCUGAAAAUAGUAUAGCAUGGAAAACGUUUUUUGCACAAAUUUUUGUUUUUUUAACCACAGUGUUUCUUUUAAAAUGUUAUUAAAAGAAUAAAAACAACCAAAAAUGUUCCUCAGAAGCAAUAUGUAAAUUCUGAAUACCAGAUAAACUACUAGGCAAGCAUCUAAAAUAAAGUUUACAGAUUUUCUUAAAACAUGAUGAAAUACUUGUGUAUUCAAUGGAUAUUCCAAGGCUCAGCUUCUAUAAAAAAAAUCUAACUCUGAGUAAGGGGAUCCAUAACAG
This 1471-nucleotide long non-coding RNA is filed under the name Homo sapiens (human). RNAcentral's name for it is "HSALNT0363964". The record is from RNAcentral. Lineage: Eukaryota; Metazoa; Chordata; Mammalia; Primates; Hominidae.